CGGCCGCCGCGCGCGAGGCGGGUGCCGACGCCGCCAUCGACGGCGAUUCGUGGCAGAAAAUGGCAGUGAUGGCAGUGCUCGGGACGCCUUGGCAGCCGGCCA
RNAcentral lists this transfer RNA (102 nucleotides) under Burkholderia glumae. RNAcentral's name for it is "tRNA-Asp". Lineage: Bacteria; Pseudomonadati; Pseudomonadota; Betaproteobacteria; Burkholderiales; Burkholderiaceae. The record is from RNAcentral.